GGAAGCGUGGCAGAGUGGUUGAAUGCACCGGUCUUGAAAACCGGCGACCCGCAAGGGUUCGUGAGUUCGAAUCUCACCGCUUCCGCCA
This 88-nucleotide transfer RNA is filed under the name Alkanindiges illinoisensis. RNAcentral describes it as "tRNA-Ser". It matches the Rfam family "tRNA". Rfam says of the family: Transfer RNA (tRNA) molecules are approximately 80 nucleotides in length. Their secondary structure includes four short double-helical elements and three loops (D, anti-codon, and T loops). The record is from RNAcentral. Lineage: Bacteria; Pseudomonadati; Pseudomonadota; Gammaproteobacteria; Moraxellales; Moraxellaceae.